Molecule: ribosomal RNA, 408 nt
Filed under: uncultured bacterium
Lineage: Bacteria
Description: partial 16S ribosomal RNA
Rfam family: Bacterial small subunit ribosomal RNA
Source: RNAcentral
GACGAACGCUGGCGGCGUGCCUAAUACAUGCAAGUCGACCUUAGUGGCGAACGGGUGAGUAACACGUGGGUAACCUGCACAGCAGAAGGGGAUGACACUUGGAAACAGGUGCUAAUACCGUAAAUAGAUGGAUGGACACGCGGUGAAUUAGCUAGUUGGUGAGGUAACGGCUCACAAAGGCCACGAUGCAUAGCCGACCGGAGAGGUGGAUCAGCCACAUUGGGACUGAGAAACGGCCCAAACUCCUACGGGAGGCAGCAGUAGGGAAUCGUCGGCAAUGGACGAAAGUCUGACCUAGCAACGCCGCGUGAGUGAAGAAGGUUUUCGGAGCGUAAAACUCUGUUGUUAGAGAAGCGGUAUCUAACCAGAAAGCCACGGCUAACUACGUGCCAGUAGCCGCGGUAAUAC